GGGGAUUUAGCUCAGUGGUGUAGCGCCUGCCUGGCAAGCGUGAAGCCCUGGGUUCGAUUCCCGGUACCA
Molecule: non-coding RNA, 69 nt
Organism: Heterocephalus glaber (naked mole-rat)
Lineage: Eukaryota; Metazoa; Chordata; Mammalia; Rodentia; Bathyergidae
Source: Rfam